RNAcentral lists this ribosomal RNA (401 nucleotides) under uncultured bacterium. RNAcentral's name for it is "bacterial SSU rRNA". It matches the Rfam family "Bacterial small subunit ribosomal RNA", at positions 30 to 431 of the family's 1533-position model. The record is from RNAcentral.
AUUGAACGCUGGCGGCAUGCUUUACACAUGCAAGUCGAACGGUAACAGGGAGCUUGCUCCGCUGACGAGUGGCGAACGGGUGAGUAAUAUAUCGGAACGUACCCAAGAGUGGGGGAUAACGUAGCGAAAGUUACGCUAAUACCGCAUACGAUCUAAGGAUGAAAGCAGGGGACCUUCGGGCCUUGUGCUCCUGGAGCGGCCGAUAUCUGAUUAGCUAGUUGGUGAGGUAAAGGCUCACCAAGGCGACGAUCAGUAGCUGGUCUGAGAGGACGACCAGCCACACUGGAACUGAGACACGGUCCAGACUCCUACGGGAGGCAGCAGUGGGGAAUUUUGGACAAUGGGCGCAAGCCUGAUCCAGCAAUGCCGCGUGAGUGAAGAAGGCCUUCGGGUUGUAAAGC